RNAcentral lists this ribosomal RNA (371 nucleotides) under uncultured organism. RNAcentral describes it as "bacterial SSU rRNA". It matches the Rfam family "Bacterial small subunit ribosomal RNA", at positions 526 to 897 of the family's 1533-position model. The record is from RNAcentral.
CGUAGGGUGCGAGCGUUAAUCGGAAUUACUGGGCGUAAAGCGUGCGCAGGCGGUUAUAUAAGACAGAUGUGAAAUCCCCGGGCUCAACCUGGGAACUGCAUUUGUGACUGUAUAGCUAGAGUACGGCAGAGGGGGAUGGAAUUCCGCGUGUAGCAGUGAAAUGCGUAGAUAUGCGGAGGAACACCGAUGGCGAAGGCAAUCCCCUGGGCCUGUACUGACGCUCAUGCACGAAAGCGUGGGGAGCAAACAGGAUUAGAUACCCUGGUAGUCCACGCCCUAAACGAUGUCAACUGGUUGUUGGGUCUUCACUGACUCAGUAACGAAGCUAACGCGUGAAGUUGACCGCCUGGGGAGUACGGCCGCAAGGUUAG